Molecule: ribosomal RNA, 482 nt
Filed under: uncultured bacterium
Lineage: Bacteria
Description: partial 16S ribosomal RNA
Rfam family: Bacterial small subunit ribosomal RNA
Source: RNAcentral
GGGGGGGGCGGGGGGCGGGGCUGAGACAGGCGGGGCGAGGGGGAACAGGUCUGCGGAUGCUGACGAGUGGCGAACGGGGGCGUAAUACAUCGGAACGUGCCCCGACGUGGGGGAGAACGAGGCGAAAGCUGGGCUAAUACCGCCUACGAUCGAAGGAUGAAAGCAGGGGCCCGCAAGGCCUGGUGCGGUUGGAGCGGCCGAUGGCAGAGUAGGUAGUUGGUGGGAUAAAAGCUUACCAAGCCGACGAUCUGUAGCUGGUCUGAGAGGACGACCCGCCACACUGGGACUGAGACACGGCCCAGACUCCUACGGGAGGCAGCAGUGGGGAAUUUUGGACAAUGGGCGAAAGCCUGAUCCAGCAAUGCCGCGUGCAGGAUGAAGGCCUUCGGGUUGUAAACUGCUUUUGUACGGAACGAAAAGGCUCUGGCUAAUACCUGGGGCACAUGACGGUACCGUAAGAAUAAGCACCGGCUAACUACGUG